Long non-coding RNA from Polistes canadensis, 384 nucleotides. RefSeq lists it as uncharacterized. Lineage: Eukaryota; Metazoa; Arthropoda; Insecta; Hymenoptera; Vespidae. The record is from RefSeq and is a predicted model, not a curated record. The transcript has 2 exons.
GGAGCAGCAUAAAGUAUUUUACUUCACGUCAAAUACAUUCAAUCUGUUCAUCAUGAGAAGCAUGCUUUUAAUUUUGCUCGCUGCUUUCAUCGCAGUUUUUGGAAUCAUCGAAGCGAAUGCCGAUCCUGAAGCCAGUCCACUAGCUAGUCCACUAGCUAGUCCACUAGCUAGUCCACUUGCGAGUCCACAUGCUAGUCCAUUUGCUAAAGCCAAUCCAGAAGCAGUUCAAAUAACGGAUAGAGAUGCCCAUUGCUGUUAAGAAAUUGUUUGAUUAACUUUUCUUUUGUUUUGAAAGUAAAUAAAAUGUUCUUUAUAGCAUGUAAGAAUUAUCUCCAUUUAUGAUAAUAUAUAAAUGAAUUAAUAAAGUUUUAUUAUAUAUCAGAA